This 208-nucleotide long non-coding RNA is filed under the name Lathyrus oleraceus (garden pea). RNAcentral's name for it is "Pisum sativum (pea) long non-coding RNA (PSAT_LNC019735)". The record is from RNAcentral. Lineage: Eukaryota; Viridiplantae; Streptophyta; Magnoliopsida; Fabales; Fabaceae.
UCUUUGUUUGAUUCCUUGCACGUGAUAUUUCUAUUUUCUUGCUGAUUAUUGCUUGAUUUAAAGUCUAAAGGGAAAGUGGGUUUUCUAUAUGACAUUCUUGUCUGUUGCAUUGCAUCCCAUUGGUCAAAACUUCUUAACUCUUAACUUUUAAUUUCAUGAUUAGGAUUAGUCUCUUCAUCUUCUCCCACUUCUUAAAUUUCAAAUCUCU